GAUGAACGCUGGCGGCAUGCCUAAUACAUGCAAGUCGAACGAGAGGAAGGAAAGCUUGCUUUUCUGAAUCUAGUGGCGAACGGGUGAGUAACACGUAGGUAACCUGCCCAUGUGCCCGGGAUAACUUCUGGAAACGGAUGCUAAAACCGGAUAGGUAGCAGACAAGCAUUUGACUGCUAUUAAAGUGGCUAAGGCCAUGAACAUGGAUGGACCUGCGGUGCAUUAGCUAGUUGGUGAGGUAACGGCCCACCAAGGCGACGAUGCAUAGCCGGCCUGAGAGGGCGGACGGCCACAUUGGGACUGAGACACGGCCCAAACUCCUACGGGAGGCAGCAGUAGGGAAUUUUCGUCAAUGGGGGGAGCCCUGAACGAGCAAUGCCGCGUGAGUGAGGAAGGUCUUCGGAUCGUAAAGCUCUGUUGUAAGAGAAAACGACAUUCAUAGGGAAUGAUGAGUGAGUGAUGGUAUCUUACCAGAAAGUCACGGCUAACUACGUGCCAGCAGCCGCCGUAA
This 511-nucleotide ribosomal RNA is filed under the name uncultured bacterium. RNAcentral's name for it is "partial 16S ribosomal RNA". It matches the Rfam family "Bacterial small subunit ribosomal RNA", at positions 28 to 523 of the family's 1533-position model. The record is from RNAcentral.